This 513-nucleotide ribosomal RNA is filed under the name uncultured bacterium. RNAcentral's name for it is "bacterial SSU rRNA". It matches the Rfam family "Bacterial small subunit ribosomal RNA", at positions 15 to 518 of the family's 1533-position model. The record is from RNAcentral.
GAUCCUGGCUCAGAUUGAACGCUGGCGGCAGGCCUAACACAUGCAAGUCGAACGGUAACAGGAAGCAGCUUGCUGCUUGCUGACGAGUGGCGGACGGGUGAGUAAUGUCUGGGAAACUGCCCGAUGGAGGGGGGUAACUACUGGAAACGGUAGCUAAUACCGCAUAACGUCGCAAGACCAAAGAGGGGACCUUCGGGCCUCUUGCCAUCGGAUGUGCCCAGAUGGGAUUAGCUUGUUGGUGAGGUAACGGCUCACCAAGGCGACGAUCCCUAGCUGGUCUGAGAGGAUGACCAGCCACACUGGAACUGAGACACGGUCCAGACUCCUACGGGAGGCAGCAGUGGGGAAUAUUGCACAAUGGGCGCAAGCCUGAUGCAGCCAUGCCCGCGUGUAUGAAGAAGGCCUUCGGGUUGUAAAGUACUUUCAGCGGGGAGGAAGGGGUUAAGGUUAAUAACCUUAGCCAUUGACGUUACCCGCAGAAGAAGCACCGGCUAACUCCGUGCCAGCAGCUGC